RNAcentral lists this non-coding RNA (91 nucleotides) under unclassified sequences. RNAcentral's name for it is "skipping-rope RNA". It matches the Rfam family "skipping-rope RNA". From Rfam's summary of the family: Firmicutes, Fusobacteria, AlphaProteobacteria, Spirochaetes. Downstream gene The record is from Rfam by way of RNAcentral.
AUUCUUUGAGGUGAAAAAAGCGUAGUCAUGCACCACAUGCCGUUGGCAAUGGGUAAAAGAGAUGUUGGGAGUGACGCACCAACCAAAGAAU